Molecule: long non-coding RNA, 311 nt
Filed under: Elaeis guineensis (African oil palm)
Lineage: Eukaryota; Viridiplantae; Streptophyta; Magnoliopsida; Arecales; Arecaceae
Description: long non-coding RNA (EGUI_LNC042450)
Source: RNAcentral
GCUACAGAAAUUUAAAACAAGAGCCUAUUAAUCAAUAAAGCUAUCUUCAACUUUUGAAGCAAAAUUAUCCCAGGUGCACUCUCUCCUUUUAUUUUCUUUGCUUUCCUACUCCAUUGAGGACAAUGUAGAUUAAGUUGGGGGGGAAGGAAAUUAAUCAAAUCCUCGAGUAUGGUCAGAAAUAAUUAGUUUUGUAUAUCCAAAUUUGGACUUGCUUAAUAGUCAAUUAGGCAUCCUAAUCAAUAAAUGAUUAACGGUUAAGAGAAUUUUAGAGAUACUGAGGAAUAAAUUAUUAAGAAAACCCAAUGAAUGGU